CCCUUAGAUGUCCGGGGCCGCACGCGCGCUACACUGAAGGAAUCAGCGUGGCUUUCUCCCUGACCCGAAAAGGUUGGGAAACCCGUUGAAUCUCCUUCGUGAUAGGGAUUGGGGCUUGAAAUUGUUCCCCAUGAACGAGGAAUUCCCAGUAAGCGCGAGUCAUAAGCUCGCGUUGAUUACGUCCCUGCCCUUUGUACACACCGCCCGUCGCUACUACCGAUUGAACGGUUUAGUGAGGGCCUCGGAUUGGUCUCGGCCCGCUCUUUACCGGGCGGCGCCGUUGGUCGAGAAGACGCUCGAACUUGAUCGUUUAGAGGAAGUAAAAGUCGUAACA
RNAcentral lists this ribosomal RNA (334 nucleotides) under uncultured eukaryote. Its description in RNAcentral is "partial 18S ribosomal RNA". It matches the Rfam family "Eukaryotic small subunit ribosomal RNA", at positions 1470 to 1796 of the family's 1831-position model. The record is from RNAcentral.